Molecule: ribosomal RNA, 253 nt
Filed under: uncultured bacterium
Lineage: Bacteria
Also listed under: 1 other name
Description: partial 16S ribosomal RNA
Rfam family: Bacterial small subunit ribosomal RNA
Source: RNAcentral
UACGGAGGGUGCGAGCGUUAAUCGGAAUUACUGGGCGUAAAGCGCACGCAGGUGGUUGGGUAAGUCGGAUGUGAAAGCCCUGGGCUUAACCUGGGAACUGCAUUCGAUACUGCCCGGCUAGAGUAUGGGAGAGGGAAGCGGAAUUUCCGGUGUAGCGGUGAAAUGCGUAGAUAUCGGAAGGAACACCAAUGGCGAAGGCAGCUUCCUGGCCCAAUACUGACGCUCAGGUGCGAAAGCGUGGGGAUCAAACAGG